UACGUAGGGUGCAAGCGUUGUCCGGAAUUAUUGGACGUAAAGAGCUUGUAGGCGGUUUGUCGCGUCUGGUGUGAAAAUCCAGGGCUUAACCCUGGACCUGCAUCGGGUACGGGCAGACUAGAGUGCGGUAGGGGAGAUCGGAAUUCCUGGUGUAGCGGUGAAAUGCGCAGAUAUCAGGAGGAACACCGGUGGCGAAGGCGGAUCUCUGGGCCGUAACUGACGCUGAGGAGCGAAAGCAUGGGGAGCGAACAGG
This 253-nucleotide ribosomal RNA is filed under the name uncultured bacterium. RNAcentral describes it as "partial 16S ribosomal RNA". It matches the Rfam family "Bacterial small subunit ribosomal RNA", at positions 524 to 776 of the family's 1533-position model. The record is from RNAcentral.